Molecule: ribosomal RNA, 426 nt
Filed under: uncultured bacterium
Lineage: Bacteria
Description: bacterial SSU rRNA
Rfam family: Bacterial small subunit ribosomal RNA
Source: RNAcentral
GUGGGGAAUCUUGCGCAAUGGGCGAAAGCCUGACGCAGCAACGCCGCGUGGGGGAUGAAGGCUCUCGGGUCGUAAACCCCUUUCAGUGGGAACGAAACUGACGGUACCCACAGAAGAAGGACCGGCCAACUACGUGCCAGCAGCCGCGGUAACACGUAGGGUCCGAGCGUUGUCCGGAUUUAUUGGGCGUAAAGGGCCCGUAGGCGGCUUGAUAAGUCGGGUGUGAAAACUCCAGGCUCAACCUGGAGACGCCACCCGAUACUGUCAUGGCUUGAGUCUGGUAGGGGAGUGCGGAAUUCCUGGUGUAGCGGUGAAAUGCAUAGAUAUCAGGAGGAACACCGGUGGCGAAGGCGGCACUCUGGGCCAGUACUGACGCUGAUGGGCGAAAGCGUGGGGAGCAAACAGGAUUAGAUACCCUAGUAGUCC